Molecule: long non-coding RNA, 3141 nt
Filed under: Mus musculus (house mouse)
Lineage: Eukaryota; Metazoa; Chordata; Mammalia; Rodentia; Muridae
Description: long non-coding RNA chr6:149559562-149562703
Source: RNAcentral
ACAUCUUUACCUGCUGAGCCAUCUUAUUGGUUCCCACGGUUUUGUUUUUGGUUUUUUAAUGUAAGCACAAUUACAAAGCUGAAUAGAUGAAUUAGUAUGCAGAAAUGCUUUUUCACUAAGGAUUUUCAUUAAAGCAUAAUAGUAAAAUAAAAAGAAGCAAUAAAUUGCUUUUGGCCUAAGUGCUUAGGAGCAUGAACAAAACUUUGGAUGUAUAAACCUUUUGCAUAUCUAAUUCUGGAUUUAAAAGAAGAGAGAGGAGGAAAAAUGAAUUUUGAAAACUUCUAGAGAAUAUAAAUCUAUAAAGGAAUGAAGAAAAGACUUAUUUGGAAAUUAUAAUUUAUAUUUGCCUAAAGGAGAAGAGGUACAAUAAUGAAAUCCAACAAAAAGAACUUAACAAAUGACAGAGAGUAGCUACAGAGCCUAUAUGACUAAAUGAGAAGGGUUAAUAUUACCUAUAGGAAAGAGAUAUUUUAAAGUGGAAACUUAAUCAUUCGAUAGCUAUAAAGAUUUGUUUUUAAAAACUGGAAUGAUACUGGUAGUCUUGUAAGUAUAGACAAUUUACAAUAAUAUAUAAUCCUAGGAGUCCACAAUUCUAUGAUUCUUUUGUUUUAAAAUUUAAAAUAUAUUGAAUUUUUACUGAUUGGUCAUAGAAAAUGUUUACUUUUAAACUAGGAUAACAAUCUUAAUUUUCUAAGAUAUUUAUUAUUUUUAAAAGGAUUUCUUUAAAGGUAUCUGAAGUAUAGCAACUCCAUUUAAAGAAGCUUCAGUGUCAGAGUCUAAAAAACAAAUAUACCCAAGAAAACUUCAUAAAUACAGUGUAUGCAAUCUCAUAGAGGAGACAAAUACUUUUUAAAUUUUAUUCACACACAAAGAUCUUCUGUCUUUAACAUUUGCUUUAUCUAUGCUGUAGAACAUGUUCUUAUACAGAUAAGCCCUUCUCUAUUAGGUAAGCAUGAACAAUUGGUCUACUGAACUAGCUAAGAAUGUGGAUGUUCCCUCAUAUACUAUAUUGAAUAAAAUCCUCUCCAGUAACCAAGUACAGGUUACAAAUAAUUAUAUGAAUAAAUCAAAUAUAUUUUCUACUCUGAUAAAUGUCAACUUUUAUUGUAUAAUUCAGACAAAAGAUUUAAUCUUUCUUACAAAGAAAUCAGUGGGCAGGAGUAGGGAGUAACUCAGCCAGGGGUGUUUGCUGAACCUGUGUGAGAGGAUAGCACCCACUGCACUGCAAAACAAACAACAAAACAAACACUGAUAUUUCCCUGAAUAAAAUCCUGCUCAUUCAAUCCAAGGAUGUCACAAAUGAAUUAAUAUUGUACAUAUAAUGAAAUUUGUAAAACCCACAAUGUUUAAAACUUUUGUUUUUAAUAAAUCAGAGUGAUUUAAAUAACCUUGCAUUAAGGCUGCAAAAUUUAAAUAAAUUUCAAAUAAAGCUGAAAGCUAUCGAAGUCAUGCUAGUCAGCAUGGCCAGUGCCAAGGUUGAAAAGUACUUACUUCAAAAUCAGUGUCCUAGCUCCUGAGUUACCAUACCCAUUUUCUGUAAUAAUAACCCAAGAUGAGUUUUUUGAAAAUAAAUUUAUCUUUAAAUGUUAUUUUAACCACCAUAGUCCCUAAUAUCUUGUAACCUGUUUUUAUUUUAAUACCCAAAAGAUUUCAAAUAAGAUAUCUUGUUUAUUACUCAAGAUAUAAAUUAAUGAGAUAAUUAGUGUUAAAAUUUAAAAUGUUCUUAAAUUUGGGAUUUUUCAGAAAUGACAAUCUGUUUAUAAGGAGCAAAAUUAACCUUCAUUAGUGUAAAGCAAGAGUAUAAGACGUUUGCAUGAAAUAUUUCACAUCAUGUAAGCUUUCCCAUAUCCAUAACAUUGACUCUAUAUAGAAAUCUUACUUGCUGUGUGAUCUCGCCAUUAGGAAUGAAGGAGGCUGUUACAUGCACUGGAUCUCCUUUCCAUACUGAAGCGCAUGGCUUUGUUCCUCAAAUUUAUUUUUACAUCUCUCAGAUGGAGUUAUUUAAUAAUCUGCCACAAUUGAACUGAAGCUUAAAUGACCUGCUGAUUCGGAUAAUUUCUUUGAUUGCUCUACAUUUGCUGAGAACUUAUUUUUAUUUUAACUUCUGCACAUAAUCAGUCUCUGCUCAGUAUACCUCUCUAAUGAGACCGUUGAGAAGUAAAUUUGAUGCUUCUUAGUGUGGAUGUAUGCUUAUUUUUUUUCAAAAAAAUAAUUUUUUUUUACAUUUUAUUUUAUUUAUUUAUUGUUAUUUUUUUAGACAGAGUUUCUCUGUAUACUCCUGGCUGUCCUGAAACUCACUUAGAACAGGCUGGCCUCAAAUUUGCAGAGAUCCAUCUGCCUUUCCAAAAAAGUCUUUAUCAGAGAACUAUGAAGUUAAGGGAAAUAACACUGUUGUGUUGACAAAUCUUUAUCUUGUAAGGGAGAAACAGAAGGAAUCAUUGGGUUCAUAGCUAUGACUAUGUGUCAUAUCAGAGGAAAUACUUUUUAAUUUUCUUGCCACAAAACUUUUAAGCUCAAUGGUUUGACUGUUAGAGUCAAUUAACAAUUUUUGAAAAUAUUUUAUGACUUUUUUGUAAUAUAUUCAGUGUCUUUAUUUGCAUGGCUAUGCAUAUAUGAAGAUGUGACUCUGACGUUGUGAUUCUUUCCCAUGUUAAAAUUUGUGUUGUGUGUGGUCAAACCUAAUUUUUACACUGUAUGAUUAUCCUUGUAAUGAUUCAGUUAUUCCAGCCUUUGUUAUUAUGCCUUCGGGGAGUAAACAAUGUGAAGUGUUUCUAUCUAAUAAUAAUAAUACCAUGAAAACAUGACUGAAAAACUAAUUUAAGAAAUGCCUUUCUUGCUAAUUAUUUUUGAAAUCCAAACAUCAGCGACAUUAUCAAAGACACGUGCAUUUAAGUACAAAAAGUUCUUAUAAAUUUAUUGCUUGCUGUUCUUUUUACUUUUUUGUAGAUAAUCCCAAGUGAACCUCUCAAGGGAGAAUCCUUAUGUCAUAUGUUUGUUUCUGUGCACUCAAUAUUUGUGAAAGGCACCCCACUGCUAAGGAAAUAACUAGAUACUAAUAAUUAUUAUCUUGGUUAAUCUUACCAAUUGACCAUACUGUAUUGCAAAACUUUUUCCAGUAAAUAAACUGAUUAUCUUUUGUUU